UGUCUCAGCUCGGAUUGGAGUCUGCAACUCGACUCCAUGAAGCUGGAUUCGCUAGUAAUCGCGCAUCAGCCAUGGCGCGGUGAAUACGUUCCCGGGCCUUGUACACACCGCCCGUCAAGCCAUGGGAGCCGGGGGUGCCUGAAGUACGUGACCGCGAGGAGCGUCCUAGGGCAAAACUGGUGACUGGGGCUAAGUCGUAACAAGGUAGC
This 209-nucleotide ribosomal RNA is filed under the name uncultured bacterium. RNAcentral's name for it is "partial 16S ribosomal RNA". It matches the Rfam family "Bacterial small subunit ribosomal RNA", at positions 1284 to 1500 of the family's 1533-position model. The record is from RNAcentral.